This is a long non-coding RNA of Vicia villosa (hairy vetch), 311 nucleotides long. RefSeq lists it as uncharacterized. The record is from RefSeq and is a predicted model, not a curated record. Lineage: Eukaryota; Viridiplantae; Streptophyta; Magnoliopsida; Fabales; Fabaceae. The transcript has 3 exons.
ACGGUGGUUCUAGGUUCAACAACAACAGCUUGUGCUUCCAAAGAUAUCACCGAUUCCGUUUGAAAGAACAAAAGUUCUCUUAACCCAAGAUGGUGUAUAAGAACAACAAUAACUAACAACAAUAGCUAACAGCAAUUUUAAGAGUGAAAGUGGGAUCGGAUUACCUACGGCGAGGAUAAUUUCGCCGGUUUAAUUGCUGAGGUACAACAAUGGUUAAAUGAAAUAUUGAGAGUGAAGGAAGAGAGACUUACCUGCGGCGAGGAUGUUGAAGAGUCAUCUAUGGAGGCUCGAAGAUGGGAGCCAUCGUUGAA